Molecule: ribosomal RNA, 253 nt
Filed under: uncultured bacterium
Lineage: Bacteria
Description: partial 16S ribosomal RNA
Rfam family: Bacterial small subunit ribosomal RNA
Source: RNAcentral
UACAGAGGCCUCGAGCGUUAGGCGGAAUCACUGGGCUUAAAGCGUGUGUAGGCGGAUCGUUAAGUGUCUUGUGAAAUCCCACGGCUCAACCGUGGAACUGCUGGGCAUACUGGCGAUCUUGAGCAGCCUAGGGGCGACCGGAACAAACGGUGGAGCGGUGAAAUGCGUAGAUAUCGCUUGGAACGCCGAAGGUGAAAACAGGUCGCUGGGGAUGUGCCGACGCUGAGACACGAAAGCCAGGGGAGCAAACGGG